AUAACAUAACGAAGCCGCAUGACUUUGUUAUCAAAGAUUUAUCACUCAGAGAUGGGCUCGCGUCUGAUUAGAUAGUUGGUGAGGUAACGGCUCACCAAGUCGACGAUCAGUAGCCGGACUGAGAGGUUGAACGGCCACAUUGGGACUGAGACACGGCCCAGACUCCUACGGGAGGCAGCAGUGGGGAAUAUUGCACAAUGGGGGAAACCCUGAUGCAGCGAUGCCGCGUGGAGGAAGAAGGUUUUCGGAUUGUAAACUCCUGUCUUAAAGGACGAUAAUGACGGUACUUUAGGAGGAAGCUCCGGCUAACUACGUGCCAGCAGCCGCGGUAAUACGUAGGGAGCGAGCGUUGUCCGGAAUUACUGGGUGUAAAGGGAGCGUAGGCGGGACUGCAAGUCAGAUGUGAAAUGCCGGGGCUUAACCCCGGAGCUGCAUUUGAAACUGUGGUUCUUGAGUGAAGUAGAGGCAAGCGGAAUUCCUGGUGUAGCGGUGAAAUGCGUAGAUAUCAGGAGGAACACCGGUGGCGAAGGCGGCUUGCUGGGCUUUUACUGACGCUGAGGCUCGAAAGCGUGGGUAGCAAACAGGAUUAGAUACCCUGGUAGUCCACGCUGUAAACGAUGAUUACUAGGUGUGGGGGGACUGACCCCUUCCGUGCCGCAGUUAACACAAUAAGUAAUCCACCUGGGGAGUACGGCCGCAA
RNAcentral lists this ribosomal RNA (700 nucleotides) under uncultured rumen bacterium. Its description in RNAcentral is "bacterial SSU rRNA". It matches the Rfam family "Bacterial small subunit ribosomal RNA", at positions 173 to 891 of the family's 1533-position model. The record is from RNAcentral.